Pelobates cultripes (western spadefoot toad) is the source of this 716-nucleotide non-coding RNA. Lineage: Eukaryota; Metazoa; Chordata; Amphibia; Anura; Pelobatidae. The record is from the annotation of a GenBank genome assembly.
GGACAUUUCUAAUUAUACAUAAUCACCAAAACAUACCUAUAAGUAACACUGUCUGAAAGUAUAGGAUCUUCAGUUUGUCAAGAAAGUCGGACACAAGGGACACUCUGUGCAGCACCUGUAGGUACCAUGUUUUUUCAUGAGUUGCCUGCUUCCCAUUUCAUUUCGUAGUCAACUCUUCCAUGUCAUGUAUAAAUUUGAGUUUAGCUUGGAGAAAUGGAGCUCACUGUCCAUUUCCCCCCCCCAAGUAGAUUAUUUCUGCAUUACAAAUCUUAUAUAAUUUAAGUGUAAUUGGAUACAAGUUGAAAUGAGGAGUAUAAAGGUGUUUGACAGGCAACAUAUGGCUUUGUUUUAUCUUAAACUUUAAAGGGACCCUAUAGUUACCAGAACAACUACAGUUUAAUGUAGUUGUUCUGGUGUCUGUCUGUGCCUGAAGGCUUUUUAAUGUAAACACUGCCUUUUCAAGGAAAAUAUAGUGUUUCUAUUACUGCCCAGGAACAACUCCAGUGGCAGUCACUCAGAUUGUCACUAGAGGUCUUUCCUGGGUCAGUGCUGCACAAUGCGCAGCACUGAAGUUCAGUAUCUCCAUGCCCUUCAUGGAGACGUUGAAUGUUCCUCAUACAAAUGCAUUGAUUCAAUGCAUCUCUAUGACAAGAUGCUGAUCGGUGCAGCAUGCACUCGACUCCCAAUACUUUCCUAUGGGCAAGCAUUGAAUUGGC